CAUUGCUUUGUGUUGGGAAGGGAGAAGGCUACCAAAGUCUUCAGGUACAAAAAGGCUCCUCUUUGGUGGGCUAAGAAGUCUUUGCAGAUGGAAAACACUCCAGUCUAUGACCUCCACUCCACUGAUCCAGAAAUAUGCUUCUGUUAUUCUUCAGCUAUUGUGUCUUUGAGAAGAGACCUUUCAGCUUUAUCUGCACGUUCCUAGAUCCCUUUCACUGCAGCCUAAUGAGACACUGUCUAUUUCCAUUUGAAAACCCAGGGCAUCACUUGCCCCAGGUGCUGCACUCACGGGACCUAGGGCAGUGUGGGUGUGAGAACUUGCAAUGGGAAUGUCCCCCCUGCCUGUGCUGCUGCACAAGGAACGUCCCUGCAGAGAGCUG
RNAcentral lists this long non-coding RNA (379 nucleotides) under Zonotrichia albicollis (white-throated sparrow). Its description in RNAcentral is "lncRNA (ENSZALG00000002268.1)". Lineage: Eukaryota; Metazoa; Chordata; Aves; Passeriformes; Passerellidae. The record is from RNAcentral.